AGAGUUUGAUUAUGGCUCAGAACGAACGCUGGCGGCAGGCUUAACACAUGCAAGUUGAGCGGGAUUUCAAAGUAGCUUGCUAUUUGGAUGAGAGCAGCGCACUGGUGAGUAACACGUGGGAACAUACCUUUUGGUGGGGGACAACAGUUGGAAACGACUGCUAAUACCGCAUAAGCCCUAAGGGGGAAAGAUUUAUUGCCGAAAGAUUGGCCCGCGGAAGAUUAGGUAGUAGGUGGGGUAACGGCCUACCUAGCCGACGAUCUAUAGCUGGUCUGAGAGGACGAUCAGCCACAUUGGAACUGAGACACGGUCCAGACUCCUACGGGAGGCAGCAGUGAGGAAUAUUGGGCAAUGGAGGCAACUCUGAACCCCCAGCCAUGCCGCGUGAGUGAAGAAGGUUUUCGGAUUGUAAAGCUCUUUCAGACGGGAAGAUGAUGACGGUACCGUCAGAAGAAGCACCGGCUAACUUCGUGCCAGCCGCGGC
This 484-nucleotide ribosomal RNA is filed under the name uncultured bacterium. RNAcentral describes it as "bacterial SSU rRNA". It matches the Rfam family "Bacterial small subunit ribosomal RNA", at positions 8 to 518 of the family's 1533-position model. The record is from RNAcentral.